CUUUGUUUUUGUUGUUAUAUUUCUCUAUUCUUGUGAAGGCUUUCAGCCUGUCUAAAUCAUGAAAUUUCUCAUUACCCAUUUCCCCCUCAUUUUUACUUUAGGUCAAGAAAUGAUGAUGGGUUGACCAUAGAUGAUAACCAGAUAUAAGAAGAAUAUUCCAGCACUAAAGCUGAAGUUUUCCAACAUUGUCUCUAAUGUUACAAAACCUGUGUAAUCCCAAUGCUUUGUAGACCUUAAAGCAAGAGGGUGAAAAUGAAAGUAAGGAAGAAGUCACAUUUGCUGUUCUUCUUAUUCCUUAAUUAAAGAAUCCUCCUGUCAUGAAUUUGAAAGAAUAAAUUUUCAUGAUGCAAGGGAUGAGUGGAACGAACACCAGCAAGACAGUAGAAAAGUUCUUACUAUCUUGGAACUUGUAGUCAACAGAUACUAUUUUGUUUAUAAGCAGAGAUGGACAUGGAAAUCAUUGUGGGGAAAGGAAGCACCAGAAGAAGACUAAACAGAAGAGAAUACACCUCUGCUGUACUGACUUCGGUCUGCUUCCUUGAGUCUCCAGGUCAAAUGAACUCCAAUAACAGAUCUAGGCUAUGUGCGAGAAGUCUGGAAAUCUGUUCAGUCUGGAUUUGAUCCUAACAACAGCAUUUGAGACCGUGUUCACCAACAGCAUUUGAGGAUACCUAGCAUCCUUGGAAUUACUUGGAUUAUUUGGCAUGCCAGUUGAUGUCUGCAUUCUACCAAGCAGGAGGAAAGAAUCAUGAUGGACUGUUCUCAUUUGGAACGCAUUAGCACAAAGAAUGCGACAAUGAAAACCCCAGAGAGCUGCAAGAUGACAAAUCGUAAGCUCUGCUGUUAAAUGCACCUGUUCUGGACUUCCGGUUUUGCACAGUAGCGACCGGUCACAGGCUUGCGGAUUCUCCGCACCCCCGCAGCUAAUUUCGCCCUGCCUGGGGACCCUUAAUGGGUCUAAGUCGCCCCGGAGAGGCGAUGAAGAAAGUAGGGUGCUCCAGCAAUUCUGGAAUGGCGGUAGCCAUUCCGUUCGACUUGGGGAAGACCUUCUAACCCAAAAGGAGAAAGGCUGGCCGUAUUGCAUUGACCAGCCCAAGCUACUAACAACUGAAGUCCAAAAGCACUAACCAGCACAACUGUGAACAGCGUGCUUGA
Long non-coding RNA from Crotalus tigris (Tiger rattlesnake), 1155 nucleotides. RefSeq lists it as uncharacterized. The record is from RefSeq and is a predicted model, not a curated record. The transcript is spliced from 4 exons. NCBI's taxonomy places the organism in Eukaryota, Metazoa, Chordata, Lepidosauria, Squamata, Viperidae.